RNAcentral lists this ribosomal RNA (82 nucleotides) under Mycolicibacterium rufum. Its description in RNAcentral is "partial 23S ribosomal RNA". Lineage: Bacteria; Bacillati; Actinomycetota; Actinomycetes; Mycobacteriales; Mycobacteriaceae. The record is from RNAcentral.
ACCACGGGAUCGAUAGACCAGACCUACAAGACCAGCAAUGGUCGCAGGGAACUGGCACUAACCGGCCGAAAACUUACAACAA